AUUGAACGCUGGCGGCAGGCCUAACACAUGCAAGUCGAACGAGUGGCGGACGGGUGAGUAAUGUCUGGGAAACUGCCUGAUGGAGGGGGAUAACUACUGGAAACGGUAGCUAAUACCGCAUACCAUCAGAUGUGCCCAGAUGGGAUUAGCUAGUUGGUGGGGUAACGGCUCACCAAGGCGAUGAUCCCUGGCUGGUCGGAGAGGAUGACCGGCCAAACUGGAACUGAGACACGGUCCAGACUCCUACGGGAGGCAGAGGGGGGGAAUAUUGCACAAUGGGCGCAAGCCGGAGGCAGCCAGGCCGCGUGUAUGAAGAAGGCCUUCGGGUUGUAAAGUACUUUCAGCGGGGAGACGUUACCCGCAGAAGAAGCACCGGCUAACUCCGUGCCAGCAGCCGCGGUAAUUC
Molecule: ribosomal RNA, 406 nt
Filed under: uncultured bacterium
Lineage: Bacteria
Description: partial 16S ribosomal RNA
Rfam family: Bacterial small subunit ribosomal RNA
Source: RNAcentral